RNAcentral lists this long non-coding RNA (260 nucleotides) under Lathyrus oleraceus (garden pea). Its description in RNAcentral is "Pisum sativum (pea) long non-coding RNA (PSAT_LNC019729)". The record is from RNAcentral. Lineage: Eukaryota; Viridiplantae; Streptophyta; Magnoliopsida; Fabales; Fabaceae.
UUUCAAACUCCCUUUCAAGGUGAACAUUUUCAAAGACCCAGUAGACUGGGGCAAGAUGAGCCACAAAGGGCAGACCCCUUUCAUGCUUCCAAACUUGUCAAACAAAUUCUGCCAUACGUCAAAAACUAUUGAGUUUAAGACAAGUGCCCGAAAAUCAUGCUAGCACGGUUCAUAAUCCUCCCAAAGGAUCCCAUUGGCUAAGUUGUGGCUGUCAAAGUUGAUAGAAUUCUCCUUUGACAACAUCUAUCACAAAAUAUUUG